AUACGGAGGAUGCAAGCGUUACUCGGAAUCACUGGGCGUAAAGCGCGCGCAGGCGGCUAUUUAAGUCGGAUGUGAAAGCCUACGGCUCAACCGUAGAACUGCAUCCAAAACUAUUUAGCUAGAGUGUGGGAGAGGAAGAUGGAAUUAGUUGUGUAGGGGUAAAAUCCGUAGAGAUAACUAGGAAUACCAAAAGCGAAGGCAAUCUUCUGGAACACUACUGACGCUGAGGCGCGAAAGCGUGGGGAGCAAACAGGAUUAGAAACCCUAGUAGUCC
RNAcentral lists this ribosomal RNA (274 nucleotides) under uncultured bacterium. Its description in RNAcentral is "partial 16S ribosomal RNA". It matches the Rfam family "Bacterial small subunit ribosomal RNA", at positions 523 to 796 of the family's 1533-position model. The record is from RNAcentral.